UUUAGUUUGUUAUUGCGUAAAUCUUGUUUUUUUUUCUUUCCAAUAUUACCUUUGGUUUAGCUUGUUAUUGAGUCAGUCUUGUUUUUUUUUUCUUCCCAAUAUUACCUUUGUAUCUUAACAGCAUAUAUAACUUGUAUUGUAUUAAACUUUGAUGUACAUAAAAGCAUUUUUCUCAAUAAAACAAAAAUAGGUGUCUUCUACUUCUAAUAUGGUAUCAGAAGCAAAUACACCAUCAAAGAAAAUGACUUGUACAUGCACAAAAGCUUGCUCUCAAAAUCUGUCCAGCUCCAACGACCAUGGCGCACCACCACUAUCUAGCUCUGUCGGCGAUCCUCCGCCCAGCUCAGCCAUAAACGGUUUGCCUCCGUCAAGCUCAAUACACAACCCUCCGCUCAGCUCAGUCGAGAAUGGCAAUCAACCUCCGUUAAGCUCUGUCGGACAUGGUGCUCCUAUUUCGGUACCAAAUCGAUCUUCCACACAAGACUCUCAAGAUCGUCCUAUACAUGAAGAUGCAACAAGCCCCUAUUUCUUGGGCUCCGGUGACAACCCAGGUCUCAUCUUGGCCUCUCCCCCACUCACGGAACAAAACUUUCAGGGCUGACGAAGAGAUUUCAGAAUCUCAAUUGGAGCCAAGAAUAAAGUCGCCUUCAUCAAUGGCACCCUUUCUCAACCUUCAGCCGAUGAUCCUCUGUUAAAUUCUUGGCAUAGAUGCAAUCAAAUGGUAAUGAGUUGGAUCCUUCACUCUAUAUCUCUUGAAAUCAAGAGCAGCAUCAUGUGUCUUGAAAAUUUAACAACCAUGUAGAGUAAACUCAAUCACAGAUUCAAUCAAGGAAAUGGGCCAAAGAUAUUUGAGCUUCGUGUGUCUCUCAUCAACCUUCAUCAAGGUCACGACUCCGUAAGUACCUACUUCACUAAACUGAAAGCUAUUUGGGAUGAAAUACAAGAGCUUCGGCCAAGAACUCCAUGUACCUGUGCAACCUCUGUUGAGAUUAGGUUUUACAAUUCCUUACAGGUCUCAAUGAUUCCUUUCAUGCUGUUAGGGCUUAGAUACUACUGAUCGAACCUUUUCCUUGUCUUUCCAAGGUAUUUUCUAUGGUUAUUCAACACGAAAGACAACGUAAGAUUGGCCUUUCCCACUCUUCAAAUCUGAUUGCUGCUACUGCUUCUACAAGCACCACUCAUCCUACUCCUAUAUCAAGAAACAAAAAGCUUCACCCAUCAUGUGCUCACUGCAAGAAAACAGGACAUUUCAAAGAGAAAUGUUAUUUUCACCAUAGAUUUCCCCUGGAUAUGGGACUCGAAGGCUGACUGAACCAUCUCCCACACCCUCUGCGCAUCAGGUCACUUUCAAUGGUCUUAAUGCCUCAACAUCUGAUUCCGAUUCUUCAAUCCAAGGCUUGAUAAAUUUACUCAGUCACCAACUCCAGCAAAACAAACAAACUCAGUCUCACAAUGACUCCAAACCCGUGGUUUCCAACAUCUCUGGUACAAUCCCUAUUAUACCUGAAACACCACAUGACCCAUCUACAACUUCAAUAAAAAAUGAAGUCCCAACUCAUACUUCAAAAGUUGGUAGAUCAAUAAAUUGGCCAAGUCAUCUUAAGGAGUACAUUUGUUUCUUAGGUGCCAAAGCAUCAUUAACACCAAUGGAACCUAAUAUCAAGCUCAGUAAAGAUGAAGGAGAGCUAUUGGCCAAUCCCACAACAUAUAGAAGCCUCAUUGGAAAGCUUAUUUAUUUAACAACUACAAGGCCAAAUAUCUCCUUUGCUGUCAAUAGAGUGAGCCAAUAUCUACAUGAACCAAGGCAGCCACAUAUGCAAGAAGCUCAUAUAAUUCUACAAUAUCUAAAGGGCACACCUGGCCAGGAAAUUUUUUUCCACUCAAAGUCCCAACCUCAACUUCAAGCCUUUGCUAAAACUAACCUCAAAGAAGCUGAUAUACAACUAAAUGUAUUCUCUGAUAAAGAUUGGGGAACUUGUCCAAACACAUGACGAUCCAUUUAUGGUUUUUGUAUUGUUUUGGGACAAUAUCUAGUGUCUUGGAAAUCAAAAAAGCAAAGCACAGUCUUAAGAUCUUCAGUAGAGGCAGAAUAUUGAGCUAUGACUAACACCGCUUGCGAAAUAUUAUGGCUGCUUGCCCUCUUGAAGGACUUUGGUAUCACUCAUUCCACUCCUGCCUUAAGAGUUCAAUGAGGACAGUUGAAACUAAUCCAUGUUGCUUCAAAAAACAACUUGGCUGACAUCUUAACCAAACCAUUAUUUCCUUCUUAAUUUCAUGCUCAAUUGUCCAAGAUGAGUGUAACAAAUCUAUACACUUCCACUUCCUCUUGAGGGGGAGUCUUAGAAUUAGUAACAAAAUUAGUUCAUCUUCUGUUACAAAAUGGUUUAGUUUGUUAUUGAGUGAGUCUUGUUUUUUCCCAAUAUUACCCUUGUAACUCAACAUCAUAUAUAAGCUGUAUUGUAUUAAACUUUGAUGUACAAAAAAUCAUUUUUCUCAAUAAAACAAAAAUAAGUCUUCUACUUCUAA
Humulus lupulus (European hop) is the source of this 2526-nucleotide long non-coding RNA. RefSeq lists it as uncharacterized. NCBI's taxonomy places the organism in Eukaryota, Viridiplantae, Streptophyta, Magnoliopsida, Rosales, Cannabaceae. The transcript is spliced from 3 exons. The record is from RefSeq and is a predicted model, not a curated record.